Long non-coding RNA from Lingula anatina, 1363 nucleotides. The record is from RefSeq and is a predicted model, not a curated record. NCBI's taxonomy places the organism in Eukaryota, Metazoa, Brachiopoda, Lingulata, Lingulida, Lingulidae.
CUUCGACCAGGUUGGCCGUAAGCUAACGUAAGUACGUAUACAGACGUGUACUCCUGGCUCCAAGUGGUAUCUCUGUUCUGGGCCUUGCUUACUGGUCUGAUGCUUGAUAAACUAUUAACCAGGGCGACCCAAAACGACAAAGAGCACUGCUUCGUGGUUCCAUUCUUCUUGACUGUUUUGGCAGGCGUCAUCGUAUCCAUAGCGUGUAUCAUCCCCAUUAUCGAGAUGCAGCUUGUGGCCGUUGUCUUUCAUUCUGUGUUGAAAACCGGUACUUUCGCCGUGCAUUUUGCAUUCGUGGUAUCUGCUUUUCCAAAGGAACAUUUUGGAAAAGCAUUUGGAAUUCAAGUUACCGUCAGUGGUUUGCUGACCUUUAUUGAAUUGCCAAUAUUUUCCUGGUACAAGCACAGCUUGGAAAGUGACCCACUUUGGUUGGGAGUACUGUUUCUGGGAAUAUGCUUCACGGCCAGCUGUUUGCCUUUCUACCUUCUUUGGCGUAAGCGUCGAUACACUAGAUCUAGCAACUACACGCUUUAAAACAAAGUUUUGAAAAUGAAGGUCAACAUGCAGGAUCAGUACAUGUAGUGACACAGGACUGGACGAUUGAUCCAAUAGGAUACUCAGACCACAUACCCAUACCUAGAUCGAUCUGGCAAGAUCGACCGAUCUCCGAGGUGAUUCUCGCUCAGCGUAAACGGUUUAGAUGUAAGGCACGCCUACUGAAGCUGUUAAACGAUAGUUAAGUACCCCCGAACAGCUUCAAUAGACGUGCCAGACAUCAGAGCCGCUUACGCUGAGUGCAAUCUAGCGAGAAACCUCUCAUAGAUGGGUCGAUCCUGCUAGAUCGAUCUAUAUGUAUGGAAAUGGAGUCUUACUGUUCAAGAAGGCAAAAUGAUUGACUUUGAUUUGCAAAAGUGACCAUUGUCCUAGAUUUUGACCCCCCUUAUGUCAUGCUAACCCUUAACUGCAUGAAAUAAACGAAAGGCGAAACCAAUCUACGAACCCUCAAUUUUCGACAAACCAGCAUGAAACACCUUGGGGACACCAAACUAUGUAAAUUUCUCAUGUUCACGUAUGUCUCAAAAUGAUAAGUAAUGGACGCUCGGUUCACUUGCUAUCAUCACAAAUGUACACUGUGCACGUAGGUUAAUAGAAGUAGCACAUACUGUACAUACCAGUAUACAAAGUUAGUUUUAUAUAAUUAAAGACCGUUUCCGCCAAGGAAAAUGUACCACUACAUUAAAUGCGCCCAAUUGCAAAAAUAUGAUAUUAAUUAUAAUAUAUUUUAGAUAUUGUUUCUGAAUACUAGGAAAAUACACAGAAUGUUUAUGAUCCAAAGUUCGAAAUAAAUUGUGAGUGCCGGAGC